This 468-nucleotide ribosomal RNA is filed under the name uncultured bacterium. RNAcentral describes it as "partial 16S ribosomal RNA". It matches the Rfam family "Bacterial small subunit ribosomal RNA", at positions 28 to 507 of the family's 1533-position model. The record is from RNAcentral.
GAUGAACGCUGGCGGCGUGCUUAACACAUGCAAGUCGAACGGUGAAGGCGGAGCUUGCUCUGCUGGAUCAGUGGCGAACGGGUGAGUAACACGUGAGCAAUCUGCCCCUGACUCUGGGAUAAGCGCUGGAAACGGCGUCUAAUACUGGAUACGAGCUGCGAAGGCAUCUUCAGCAGCUGGAAAGAACUUCGGUCAGGGAUGAGCUCGCGGCCUAUCAGCUUGUUGGUGAGGUAACGGCUCACCAAGGCGUCGACGGGUAGCCGGCCUGAGAGGGUGACCGGCCACACUGGGACUGAGACACGGACCAGACUCCUACGGGAGACAGCAGGGGGGAAUAUUGCACAAUGGGCGAAAGCCUGAUGCAGCAGCGCCGCGUGAGGGACGACGGCCUUCGGGUUGUAAACCUCUUUUAGCAAGGAAGAAGCGAAAGUGACGGUACCUGCAGAAAAAGCGCCGGCUAACUACGUG